This 394-nucleotide ribosomal RNA is filed under the name uncultured bacterium. RNAcentral's name for it is "bacterial SSU rRNA". It matches the Rfam family "Bacterial small subunit ribosomal RNA", at positions 28 to 408 of the family's 1533-position model. The record is from RNAcentral.
GACGAACGCUGGCGGCGUGCCUAACACAUGCAAGUCGAACGAGUCCAGACCUUCGGGUCUGAGGCGAGUGGCGGACGGGUGAGUAACACGUGAGCAAUCUGUCCCUGUGUGGGGGACGAACCCGGGGAAACCCGGGCUAAUACCGCAUGGGCAGGCACUCCGAAAGGAGAGCCUGGGAAAGAGGCCCUCUUUACAAUGGUCUCAUGCAGGGAGGAGCUCGCGGGCUAUCAGCUAGUUGGUAGUGGUAACGGCCUACCAAGGCGACGACGGCUACGGGGUCUGAGAGGACGACCCCGCACAUUGGAACUGAGACACGGUCCAGACUCCUACGGGAGCAGCAGUGGGGAAUUUUGGCAAUGGCCGCAAGGCUGACCCAGCGACGCCGCGUGUGGGA